CUAUAGGAUUUUGCGAUGGCGGUUUAUCUAACCAAAUCUAUGUUAACAAAUUUGAACCGAGUUCAAUAUCCAUCGAACUUUAGCAACGAUGAAGAAGGGAGUAGCAGUAGUGGUGGUGACCAAUGGCAGAGGUUCUACUCUGAAGGGAAAAGUGCAGCAGAUUUGGCAAAGGAUGCAAUUUGCAGAGUCUGUGCUCGGGUGGCCUGCACUCCUCUAUCAGAAAAAAUAGAGGGAUAUGAUAUAAUGAGCGCCAUUUGCAGUAUUACUAAUGUUGCCAUAAGUGCCGAAGAUUCACUUCCGAAGUACAUUUGUAACGAAUGCCUUGAAACUUUAAGAGUCGCAUUAAUAUUUAAGAAAACAUGUGAGACUUCUGACCGGAAAUUUAAACGGAUUUUAAACCCAAUGGGGGACCCAUCAUACCAUUCCUACCCAUAUUCCAAACAUGACUUCCAACUAAUUCUCCACCAUAUGAAGCUGAAGAGGAUGAGGAUCGAAGAAGAAAAAGAGAAAGAACGUCAAAGAAGAGAAAAAAUGCUUUUAAAGAAAACCCCCAAGUCUAAGCAGUUCACGUGUUCCCCAUGCGAUAUGAAUUUUCCUUCCAAGGAAAAGUUACUAGCGCAUCGCCGUGAGCGGCAAUGUAUGCGUCGCGCAUGCGAGUUAUGCGGGCAGUUGGUACUUAGUAUCACGCAACACAUGCGGCACAUACACAAGCAAUCCGUACUUCAUAAGUGUCCCACCUGCGGCAAGGAGUUCACAGUCGUCGCACGCCUUAGGAAUCACAUGCUGAUCCACACGAACAUAUUCAACUUCUUCUGCGACCUGUGUCCAUAUAAAUGCAAGCAUAAAUACUACUUGGUGAUGCAUAUGAGAACUCAUACUGGAGAGAAGCCUUACAAGUGUCCGGAGUGUCCUGCUACGUUUGUAAAUCCUUCUAAUUUGAACAAGCAUAAGUUGACACACCAGGAGAAACAGUUCAAGUGUUUUCUAUGCGAAAAAGCGUUCCGCACGACGUCGGCGCUGCGCGAACACCGCGAGGCCGCGCAUAUGAACAUCAAGCAUACCUGCAACUAUUGUGGACGAGACUUCUGUUACAAGUCCGAUCUCCGAAAACACGAAAUCCGUAGUCACAAUCGUACCAAACGCGACUACAUCGGCGGCGAGCCCACAUACAAGCAAGUUGAACGUAUGCAGAAGAUGAAAGAGGAAAAUCAUGAUUUAGAUAAGUGGCGGCACGAGAUCGCAGUUACUCAGCCUACCCAAAUAGUGCAAACUGCGUACAUGGAGCCAAAUAAGGAUUACAUGUCGAAUUCUCAUCAGAUUUACUGUUUCUCUGAUGUUACCGCCGUCAUGCAUUCGCAAUCGCAACCGAUGGUUCAACAACAACAACAGACCGUCCAGCUAUCAUUGCCCGAAUUAACAAUGAAGAAAGAUGACGUCAAGAUUUACGAAACUCAACAAGGCAUUGGAUAUUUUUAGAAUCACAAAUAAACGAAAUAUACGUGUCCGAAAGAAAAACUGGAUAACGGGGUAGCUGUGCUUAUUUUCGGGUGAAUUAAGUUAACCCAGCCUUAUUUUCUAGAUUGACUAUUUUUACACUGUGUGCUCUGGGUCAAUGAGGAGUUAAUUUUGUUACGUUGGUACUCAAAGCACAGGGAACACCUUAGACUGAGACCAGAUAAUUGAUAUAUUAGUCGAGCACAUUAUUAUGACUACAUUUGUACAAAAAUGAUUUAAUUAUCAUGCUAUAAUAUAAAUAUAUUAUUUAGAUAGGCACAAGCCUUACAAAUAGAACACCAGCUCACGAAAACGUGUUCAUGUAUGAACUGUGCUGACGAUAUUCCAUAUAAGAUAUAUUUUGCACAGUAAAAAAUUAAUUUUAGCGAAAACGGAAGCGAAAGCGGAAGAGUAAAUACCAUAACGAUAUCGAAAUAGUUCCAAGCAGGACUUGUUUUUGAUUUUAUAAUUGCAUUUAACACAAAACUGCAAAAAAUGCGCGUCUCACGGCCAAACAUUUCCGACGUAAACGUUUUAAACUUCCGAUUAAAGUUUCGUUAUAAAUGUUAUGGAAGUAGAUGUGAAAAAGCGUUCAGAACUUUCGCAAUUGUGGAACCAGAAGCAGAGAUCUGUUGCUUCACUAGCAUGGAUGAGUGCUGCAGCGUGCUGACAAGUGGAAUUCAACCCUUAGCCAGUUUUUUCCUACGAUAUAAAAACCCUGUAUAGAUUAGUAUUAUAUGCAAUAACUAGAGUUAACUAGAAAAAUAUAUAUUAUUACACUAGAAAUUAUUAGGGUAUUUGACAAGUAUCGCAAAUGAAAUAUUUUUCAUUAGCAUUUACAGAAAAAAAUU
Molecule: RNA transcript, 2345 nt
Organism: Hyposmocoma kahamanoa
Lineage: Eukaryota; Metazoa; Arthropoda; Insecta; Lepidoptera; Cosmopterigidae
Gene name: zinc finger protein 578-like
Exons: 11
Source: RefSeq, a predicted model, not a curated record